RNAcentral lists this ribosomal RNA (253 nucleotides) under uncultured bacterium. Its description in RNAcentral is "partial 16S ribosomal RNA". It matches the Rfam family "Bacterial small subunit ribosomal RNA", at positions 524 to 776 of the family's 1533-position model. The record is from RNAcentral.
UACGUAGGGGGCAAGCGUUGUCCGGAUUUAUUGGGCGUAAAGAGCUCGUAGGCGGUUCCGUAAGUCGAGUGUGAAAAAUCUGGGCUCAACCCAGUCGAGCACUCGAUACUGCGGUGACUAGAGUUCGGUAGAGGAGUGUGGAAUUCCUGGUGUAGCGGUGAAAUGCGCAGAUAUCAGGAGGAACACCAACGGCGAAGGCAGCACUCUGGGCCGAUACUGACGCUGAGGAGCGAAAGCGUGGGGAGCAAACAGG